GGCAGGCCAACAUAUUGAAAUAAUAGCUACAAAACUCCUAACCUUCUUUGGGGGUCAUACACAGCAUACUAUACUUGGGAAUGGCAUUCUGACACAUUUAUUACAUAAUAAUGCUAUUAUAUGUAAUGCUAUUCUGACACAUUUGUUAGGUAACAUUAAUGGCUUUGAGUGGGACUUAGAACAAGAAAAGGCUCUGAAACAGAUCCAAGAUGUUGUUUGAGCCAUGCAACUAGAAGAUCUCAUAGAACUAAAGUUAUCUAAUUUACAGAAAAGGUUUUACGUGACGUCUAUUGUACAGAUUCAUAUGAAAACCAUAGUUCAAACUCCAAGGUUUAAGAAGUAAGAAAGAUCAUGCCAUUUGCAACAAACAUGCAUGCAUAUUUGAAAAGCAACUGUAAGUAUGCUAUUGGACAUUGGUAAAGAUUGAAUAUCUGACCAUGGCAUAUCAAGAAACCAUGGAAUGAGUACUGCUUAUCAAGAUCUGGGUGUGAGAAGACUUAAAAAGUCAGAUAGUCAGUGAGAACCAGCUAGAAUCCAUGAUCUGUUGUGGGAAAACUAGAAGACCAAAAAAAGCACGAAAGUCAAGAAAGAAGUCUCUUUUCACAUGAAAGUGGCCUGAAGACAAAUACUGCUAUGAAUGGUUACAUCUAGGACUUCUGAAAUUAGCCCCAGAUUCAACUCAUUUUUUUCUGCAUUUGCUGAGCAAUAUGACAUGUUUACACCGAUUAGCUAAAAAGUUAUGUGAAGAAUGGGCAACAAUAUCUCUAA
This 768-nucleotide long non-coding RNA is filed under the name Homo sapiens (human). RNAcentral's name for it is "HSALNT0318923". The record is from RNAcentral. Lineage: Eukaryota; Metazoa; Chordata; Mammalia; Primates; Hominidae.